RNAcentral lists this ribosomal RNA (241 nucleotides) under uncultured Actinomycetales bacterium. RNAcentral's name for it is "partial 16S ribosomal RNA". It matches the Rfam family "Bacterial small subunit ribosomal RNA", at positions 89 to 334 of the family's 1533-position model. Lineage: Bacteria; Bacillati; Actinomycetota; Actinomycetes; Actinomycetales. The record is from RNAcentral.
ACUCGAGUGGCGAACGGGCGAGUAACACGUGGGUGAUCUGCCCUGCACUUCGGGAUAAGCCUGGGAAACUGGGUCUAAUACCGGAUAGGAGCCAUUUUUAGUGUGAUGGUUGGAAAGUUUUUCGGUGUAGGAUGAGCUCGCGGCCUAUCAGCUUGUUGGUGGGGUAAUGGCCUACCAAGGCGGCGACGGGUAGCCGGCCUGAGAGGGUGGACGGCCACAUUGGGACUGAGAUACGGCCCAG